GGGCAAUUAGCUCAGCGGUAGAGCAUCUCGCUUACACCGAGAGGGUCGGCGGUUCGAAUCCGUCAUUGCCCACC
This 74-nucleotide transfer RNA is filed under the name Allostella sp. ATCC 35155. RNAcentral describes it as "Stella sp. ATCC 35155 tRNA-Val". It matches the Rfam family "tRNA". From Rfam's summary of the family: Transfer RNA (tRNA) molecules are approximately 80 nucleotides in length. Their secondary structure includes four short double-helical elements and three loops (D, anti-codon, and T loops). Lineage: Bacteria; Pseudomonadati; Pseudomonadota; Alphaproteobacteria; Rhodospirillales; Allostellaceae. The record is from RNAcentral.